RNAcentral lists this long non-coding RNA (988 nucleotides) under Selaginella moellendorffii. RNAcentral describes it as "long non-coding RNA (SMOE_LNC001228)". The record is from RNAcentral. Lineage: Eukaryota; Viridiplantae; Streptophyta; Lycopodiopsida; Selaginellales; Selaginellaceae.
UCUAGAAAGAGGCGGCUAAAGUGUUUUGUCUGGACAGUGUACAAUGGAAAAAUCCAAAUCACGAUCAUCUUCUGCUACGCCUCGUUGAUAAAAACACAAUGACCAUCAAUUUCAAAGCUCGCCACCAAUGCAUCAGGAAUCAUCGAAGACAACUUCACGUCGGGAAAUCACUCCAUAGAACCAACUGCUGUCGUCUAUGGAUCGCUGUGGAGAUUCGACCAGCAGGGACUUCCAGCUGACUUGAUCGCCAGGUAAGAUUUCUAGCUUGAAACUAUCCAAACAAAAAGCAAACAAUGAUUUUUCCCAGCCAAAACCGAAAGCCAAGCACGGCCUAGACCUCCUCACUGAAGGCUGUCCCUACGCAGUGGAUAGACUGAACCUCUGGAGUGCAUUGAAGCAAUGGGUGACAGAUUACACAGACAUUUUCUACAAGGACGAUGCUUCAGUCAGGGAUGACACUGAACUCUAGGCAUGGUGGCAAGAAAUAAGACAGUUGGAUGGACAGACAUGAACACAAAAGCAAACUUGACCGAGGCACUCACCACCGUGAUUUGGAUCCCCAUCGUGCCACCACAACUUUGGCCAGUACGCAUACACUGGAUUCCCAGUGAACAGGCAGACCAUCGCUCACAAGCUCAUUCCUGACGAAGACAGGACACCGAAGAAUAUAAGCAGCUGCGAAGAAACGGGGAGAAAUUCUACCUCUCACCCUCCAAAGCCGAGGCGACGUUGGUGAUGACAACCAUCGAGAUCCUCUCCACGCAUUCCUCCGACGAGGAGUACCUGGGCACGCGGCCGGAACACUGGACGAGCGACAAACGGGUGCUGGACGCAUUCGAGCGAUUCAAAGCCGAGACGGAGGCGGAAGUGAUGGCAAGGAACGCGAAGAACCGCCGCGGCCUUUUCAAUCUCCCCUACACGCUCCUUGCCGUGAGCUCGCCCCCGGGCACUGGCCGAAACAGCAUCUCCAUCUAGAUGAACCCUAAAA